RNAcentral lists this ribosomal RNA (1397 nucleotides) under Halobacteriales archaeon SW_9_67_24. Its description in RNAcentral is "bacterial SSU rRNA". It matches the Rfam family "Archaeal small subunit ribosomal RNA". The record is from RNAcentral. Lineage: Archaea; Methanobacteriati; Methanobacteriota; Halobacteria; Halobacteriales.
AUUCCGGUUGAUCCUGCCGGAGGCUAUUGCUAUCGGGAUCCGAUUCAGUCAUGCUAGUCGCACGGGUUCAGACCCGUGGCGAAUAGCUCCGUAACACGUGGUCAAACUACCCUCUGGACCGGGAUACCCUCGGGAAACUGAGGCUAAUCCCGGAUACUGCUUUCACGCUGGAACGCGGAAAGCCGGAAACGGUCCGCCGCCGGAGGACGUGACUGCGGCCGAUUAGGUAGACGGUGGGGUAACGGCCCACCGUGCCGAUAAUCGGUACGGGUUGUGAGAGCAAGAACCCGGAGACGGACUCUGAGACAAGAGUCCGGGCCCUACGGGGCGCAGCAGACGCGAAACCUUUACACUGCACGACAGUGCGAUAAGGGGAUCCCGAGUGCGAGGGCAUACAGUCCUCGCUUUUCGUGACCGUAAGGUGGUCUCAGAAUAAGGGCUGGGCAAGACCGGUGCCAGCCGCCGCGGUAAUACCGGCAGCCCGAGUGAUAGCCACUCUUAUUGGGCCUAAAGCGUCCGUAGCUGGCCGAACGGGUCCGUCGGGAAAUCCACCCGCUCAACGGGUGGGCGUCCGGCGGAAACCAGUCGGCUUGGGACCGGAGGACCUGCGGGGUACGUCCGGGGUAGGAGUGAAAUCCCGUAAUCCCGAACGGACCGCCGGUGGCGAAAGCGCCGCAGGAGGACGGAUCCGACAGUGAGGGACGAAAGCUUGGGUCUCGAACCGGAUUAGAUACCCGGGUAGUCCAAGCCGUAAACGAUGCUCGCUAGGUGUGGCGCAGGCUACGAGCCUGCGCUGUGCCGUAGGGAAGCCGAGAAGCGAGCCGCCUGGGAAGUACGUCCGCAAGGAUGAAACUUAAAGGAAUUGGCGGGGGAGCACUACAACCGGAGGAGCCUGCGGUUUAAUUGGACUCAACGCCGGAGCUCGUACCGUGAGGCGUCCUGUUAAGUCAGGCAACGAGCGAGACCCGCAUCCCUAAUUGCCAGCAACACCCACGUGGUGGUUGGGUACAUUAGGGAGACUGCCGCUGCCAAAGCGGAGGAAGGAACGGGCAACGGUAGGUCAGUAUGCCCCGAAUGUGCCGGGCUACACGCGGGCUACAAUGGCCGAGACAGUGGGACGCUACCCCGAGAGGGGGCGCUAAUCUCCUAACCUCGGUCGUAGUUCGGAUUGCGGGUUGAAACCCACCCGCAUGAAGCUGGAUUCGGUAGUAAUCGCAUUUCAGAAGAGUGCGGUGAAUACGUCCCUGCUCCUUGCACACACCGCCCGUCAAAGCACCCGAGUGAGGUCCGGAUGAGGUCGACGCAACGUCGAUCGAAUCUGGGCUUCGCAAGGGGGCUUAAGUCGUAACAAGGUAGCCGUAGGGGAAUCUGCGGCUGGAUCACCUCCUACAGAACGG